UAUAAAAAAAAUCAUACUUACCCCAAUAUUUUGAAUGGUAACAAACGCUGUUAAGACUUUAUCUAUGUCGAUAGUCAUCAUCUAUGUGUUGUUACUUUUACAUGUCCACUGUUAUUUUUUAUUUUUUCAGUUGGAGGGCAAAAACUACAGCCAUGAAAUGUCAAAAUAUUUAUUUUGACCUUAUUAUAUGAGUUAGUUUAUGCUGGAGAAAGGUUGGUCUGUUGGUAUUAUGUCCCUCUGACAAAAGGAUUUGGCUACUGACAAGAAAACAGACCGGGUAGCAUUAGCAACCUUACGGUAUUGUUGUUUACUAAUGGAAUUGGAGUUUUUAAAUAUUCUUUUAUUUUGCACUCCCUUUGUGUUUUCUAUUAGUCCUUAGAGACUGAAAUUACCUGUGAUCUGGGAGUAAAAUCAUCUGACAGAUGAGAAAUUUUAUCACUUUGAACUGUGGCAAAAGGAUUAAGAUCCUGCAGUUGUGCCUGUACAUUAUGAGAGCACCGCACAUUGUGUCCUGCUGCUAUAUAUUAGGAUGCAACUUUCACAAAAUAUUCACAUAGGGCUCCUGUCAUUGAAAUUGCGAAAGACUUCAGUGUACACAUGGUACACACUGACAAAGCAUGUAUUUUCUUAAUAAACUUAUUUUCAUGAUGCCUG
Pimephales promelas (fathead minnow) is the source of this 654-nucleotide non-coding RNA. NCBI's taxonomy places the organism in Eukaryota, Metazoa, Chordata, Actinopteri, Cypriniformes, Leuciscidae. The record is from RefSeq and is a predicted model, not a curated record.